GUAGGAAGCUACAACUUGGUGCCAGACUCCUAAGCUACCUCCCAAAGAGACGAGGAUAGAAGGAACCAUCCAUCUUGAGGUUCACAUUCCAAAGAGAAGUCUCUGAGGCCUUCAAGAAGGACAUUCUGGGAAGUGAAAGUGCUCUUCAGGCUAGAAGGUGAAUAAAGCAUGGAGCCAUCUUAUGAGGACCUCAUCUUGCAUCACAGCAUGGUGGGGAGGAAGCAGCUUUGUGCAAAGAGGAAUAUGUGUGCAAGACAGAGAAGCAUGAGGAGAGACCUGUCUUUGUAACAACCUACUCUCAUGAGACACCAACCACGGCCUCACUCUGUGCUCUUGGGUGUCAGGAGGUACACCAAAAUAGUAUCAGACCUGCACAGAACUGAAGAGAUGCUAAUCUUGCUCCUGUAUCUCCUUACUCUUUGGCUGGGAAAACACCCAGCAUAAUGUUACCUUUUGGACUUUAAAUGGACAGUAUUUAAAAGGAUUAUCCCCAUGCCUGUGUCAAUUGGACUGGGUGAGUUAAAAAAAACAUAUACAUAAAGACAAUGUUUAUAUUUAAAUGUCAGACAUUGUGUGGGUAGAUUUAGUGUUCUUUCCUAUCCAUGAAUAACAUUACAAACCAUAAUUAAUUUAUCCAUGUUCCUAU
This is a non-coding RNA of Heterocephalus glaber (naked mole-rat), 646 nucleotides long. Lineage: Eukaryota; Metazoa; Chordata; Mammalia; Rodentia; Bathyergidae. The record is from RefSeq and is a predicted model, not a curated record.